UGCGUAGGCGGAUGCGCAAGUGCCUCGUGAAAUCCCCCGCCUCAAUCGGGGAACUGCGGGGCAGACUGCGUGUCUUGAGGCAAGUAGAGGUCGCCGGAACGCUAGGUGGAGCGGUGAAAUGCGUAGAUAUCUAGCGGAACGCCCGAGGUGAAGACGGGCGACUGGGCUUGUCCUGACGCUGAGGCACGAAAGCGUGGGAGCAAACA
This 206-nucleotide ribosomal RNA is filed under the name uncultured bacterium. RNAcentral describes it as "partial 16S ribosomal RNA". It matches the Rfam family "Bacterial small subunit ribosomal RNA", at positions 568 to 774 of the family's 1533-position model. The record is from RNAcentral.